This 73-nucleotide transfer RNA is filed under the name Aeropyrum sp. Its description in RNAcentral is "tRNA-Glu". It matches the Rfam family "tRNA". From Rfam's summary of the family: Transfer RNA (tRNA) molecules are approximately 80 nucleotides in length. Lineage: Archaea; Thermoproteati; Thermoproteota; Thermoprotei; Acidilobales; Acidilobaceae. The record is from RNAcentral.
AGUUAGGUAGUCUAACGGCCUAGGAUGCGGGCCUUUCGAGCCCGCGACCCGGGUUCAAAUCCCGGCCUGGCUA